UCUCUUUCAUUAUUCUGCCAUGUAAGGACACAAUGUUUGUUCCCACUUGCCUUCUGCCAUCCACUAUAGGAGGAUGCCAUAAGAAGGCUGAUACCAGAUGCCAGAGUUCUGAUGUUGGACUUCUCAUCCUCUAGAACUAUGAGAAACAAAGGCACGGAGAGAUUUCAGUUUUGCUUACGAGAACACAGUUGACUUAGCGGAAGGGAGACCCAGAUUUCCACAAUCUGAAUCUGGUGUUCCUUCAAUUCUACUUAUAUGUUGCUCUGCUAUUUAAGCUAUAUCUAAGACAGAUAUGGAGAUGGAAAUUGACACAGUUUAUGGACUGCGAGACAAGAGACAAAUAGUAGCAUAACUAGGGAAAGAAAUUCAUUUUCUCCUAUCUCCAAAUUCAGUAUUUUUUUCAAUGAAAUUAUGCUGACUUUAAUCAGGCUGUGGCCAGCUCUCCAAAAUGUGACACAAAUGCUGGCUAUUGGAAGAUAAGCAGAAAUGCACAGGAAUGGUCAUGUUGUCCAAAGGAACAUGGAUGGAACCUUACAGCAUCUGUUAUAGAAACUACAAGAAAUGCAUCUUUACUCAGAACACAAAAUAGUCAAAAGCAGAAAGUUGGGAAAAAACGUAUCUCAGGCAAAUUCUAAAGGAAAGGAAGGUAGUAUAAGAUAUAUAGCCAUAUUAAUAUUAGAUAAAGUAGAAUUUAACACAAGGAGAACUACCAGAAAAAAAUAAGAAUAUUUCAUAAUGAUAAAAGUUUUAGUCUACUAGAAAAUGUAACAAUUUUAAAUUUGUAUGCGUCCAUCCCAUAAUCUCAGAAUAUAUUAAGUAAAUUAGAUAUAACUUCAUAGGAAAUACACAAAUCAUAGAGGUUUUAACACAUCUCUUUUAGUAACUGAUAGAACAGAUAAAGUUAUAGAAGACCUAAACAAUCCAUUUAACAAAUAUCAAAUAACUUCAAAGUACAAAGUCAUUUCAAAUAGACCUGCAGCAUAUUAAAAAAAUGUUUCAUGUGAUCAGCCUUAAAGCCUCGGAAAAUUUUAAAGGCUUUAAAUCAUGUAUAACAAAGGGGACUUAACUUAGAAACUAAUAAAAAUAACUAGAAAACAUC
Molecule: long non-coding RNA, 1099 nt
Organism: Pongo pygmaeus (Bornean orangutan)
Lineage: Eukaryota; Metazoa; Chordata; Mammalia; Primates; Hominidae
Exons: 4
Source: RefSeq, a predicted model, not a curated record